RNAcentral lists this long non-coding RNA (511 nucleotides) under Olea europaea (common olive). RNAcentral describes it as "long non-coding RNA (OEUR_LNC004273)". The record is from RNAcentral. Lineage: Eukaryota; Viridiplantae; Streptophyta; Magnoliopsida; Lamiales; Oleaceae.
UGGGGAGUUCGAUUCCUGGUUGGAGCAACCAAGUGAUGUAAUAACCAGAAUAGGGGCCAAAUGUCAACUUCAGAAACUUUAUCCUUUAAUUAUUAUAAAUGCAGUCAAUUUUUUUAUUUAAUCAAAUCUUGUUAACUAAUAUUACGCCACUGCAUAUGUCAAUCAAGCAUAAUAUAAACCUAGCAUUGCCCUCCAUGGCACAUCCAAGUUGGCGGAAGAAUCACAUUGGGGGCUCUGGAACCAAGUGUGGGGAGUUCGAUUCCUGGUUGGAGCAACCAAGUGAUGUAAUAACCAGAGGAAAGGUUGGAGCAGCUUGGUGAUAUAAUAACCAUGGAGGAGGGUCCCUUUGGGGAAGGAGUAAAAGCCAUGUGGGAACCUGGGAACCAACAAGGGCACAACCUGCGAUUUACCUCCACUAGUCACUGAGGGGCCGGGGGCUAGAGGUCCAGGAUUUAGUCCGGCUAAACUGGGACACCUGGGUUAUAAAAAAAAAAAAAAAAAAAAAAAAAAA